GACGAACGCUGGCGGCGUGCUUAACACAUGCAAGUCGAACGGUAAGGCCCUUCGGGGUACACGAGUGGCGAACGGGUGAGUAACACGUGGGUGAUCUGCCCUGCACUUCGGGAUAAGCCUGGGAAACUGGGUCUAAUACCGGAUAGGACCACUGCCUGCAUGGGUGGUGGUGGAAAGCUUUUGCGGUGUGGGAUGGGCCCGCGGCCUAUCAGCUUGUUGGUGGGGUGAUGGCCUACCAAGGCGACGACGGGUAGCCGGCCUGAGAGGGUGACCGGCCACACUGGGACUGAGAUACGGCCCAGAAUCCUACGGGAGGCAGCAGUGGGGAAUAUUGGACAAUGGGCGCAAGCCUGAUGGAGCGACGCCGCGUGAGGGAUGACGGCCUUCGGGUUGUAAACCUCUUUCAGCACCGACGAAGCGCAAGUGACGGUAGGUGCAGAAGAAGGACCGGCCAACUACGUGCCAGCCGCCGCCGUAA
RNAcentral lists this ribosomal RNA (478 nucleotides) under uncultured bacterium. Its description in RNAcentral is "partial 16S ribosomal RNA". It matches the Rfam family "Bacterial small subunit ribosomal RNA", at positions 28 to 523 of the family's 1533-position model. The record is from RNAcentral.